CAUACCAAAAACCAUGACACAAAGUAAGGAACAUAACAUGUUGCACUGUUUCAGGAAAAAGGAAGUGGAAAACUUCAGAUAUGACCAUCACCAACACAGGAAGGAGGAAGUGUAAAAGAUCACAGGUGGUCACCACCAAAAUGGAGGCAAGUCCUCAAGAGGUAAGUCCUUUCUUGCUAAAGAAAAUGGGUACUUGGUUUCUUUUCUGUCCCACUGGCCUUUUCAAAUCAAUCACAGAAGACAGCUAUCAUGGUUAAACUUUGCUGUUUUGCAGACUGAAAGGCAAUUUUCCAGUUUACAAGGAACUGCCAUUUAUCUGUUCUCUCAAGAGAAAAAGAAAUACUUCUCCAUAGGAGUGUGCGAACCAGCUCAGCUCAAAAGCUUCAGCUCGAGCCGGAUAGGGCUGGUCCAAGUUUGAGCAGAGCUGAGUCCAGUUUGAACCAAGCUGGCCCAAGGUACCUUGAAAGCUCAAACUGCCAUUUCAUGCAGGGCAAGUUGUGGUGGCCAUUUUGUGACACUAUGUGUCACUCUCAGAGAUUGGCUGUGCUGCCACUGCCCUGAUUGGCCAGACGUGUCUUGCCCUUUGGUUGGCUUGCCAAUUGUGCCACUCAGUGGCAACUGUCACCCCAUUGGCCAAGGUGGAGGGACAAGGGUGGGUGCAGAAUAGGAAGGUGGUUCAAAUUGCAUUUAAAGGCCACCCUAUAGUCUCGCAAAGCCAUUUUUUCUUGAGAUUCUGAUUGGAGAGAGCUGGCUGUUGCUUCUGUUGUUUCUUCUGUUGUUGUUGUUGUUGCCGCUACCACUGCUGCCACCUGGAUGCUAUUGCUGUGUUGGAGUCUUUGGUCUUCGCAGAGGUUUGCUGUGCCUGCCUGUGUGCCGUUGCUUUUGGCUUUACUGCCUUUUUGCCUGAUUGAUUGAUUGAUUGGUCUGGUCAGAUUUUUUCUUUCCUCCCAGGGCUGGGCUGUUUCUUGCUUUUUAAAAGCAGUGUGCCAGACUUCCUGACUCCUGCUGUGAGUGUGCCCACUUUUCCCUUUAUCCCCCACCUCCACCCGGCCUGGUUUAAUUUGAAAGUUAAAGCUGUGCCUGGCUCUCCUGCUGCCAGAGAGUGCCCAACCACCACAUCAUAGUCAGAGAGAGGCCUUUUCUCUGUGAUUUACAUUUUCCUUGAUUUAUCUCUCUCUUUAAUUUGCAUUGGUUAUUUUCUGGUUUUUGUUUGGGCUUGCUGGCCCUGCCACAUCUGCCCUCCUAUGAAUGAGUGGGUGCUGCUCUGCUCUGCUACUUGGACCAGCAGCCCCUGGCUGGCCUCCUAUCCUAUCCAGCUGGACUUCUGGACAAUGGAGGGAUAUCCCCAACAGACAGAAGCAUGUGAUGAUGAUGAUUCCCUGGGAUGCUAUGUGGUAGAAGCAAGAGUGAACGUUGAAAGCUCAUAUUCAAGAAAUCCUUCCUUUCUAAAAAUAAAUACAUUGUAACCAAGAACAGACAACUUUAAUUAUACCUUAGAGGAUCCACGGAGCCU
Long non-coding RNA from Hemicordylus capensis (graceful crag lizard), 1513 nucleotides. RefSeq lists it as uncharacterized. Lineage: Eukaryota; Metazoa; Chordata; Lepidosauria; Squamata; Cordylidae. The transcript has 3 exons. The record is from RefSeq and is a predicted model, not a curated record.